GAUGAAGAACGCAGCGAAAUGCGAUAAGUAGUGUGAAUUGCAGAAUUCAGUGAAUCAUCGAAUCUUUGAACGCACAUUGUGCCCCUUGGUAUUCCAUGGGGCAUGCCUGUUCGAGCGUCAUUUGUACCUUCAAGCUCUGCUUGGUGUUGGGUGUUUGUCUCGCCUCUGCGUGUAGACUCGCCUCAAAACAAUUGGCAGCCGGCGUAUUGAUUUCGGAGCGCAGUACAUCUCGCGCUUUGCACUCAUAACGACGACGUCCAAAAGUACAUUUUUACACUCUUGACCUCGGAUCAGGUAGGGAUACCCGCUGAACUUAAGCAUAUCAAUAAGCGGAGGA
RNAcentral lists this unclassified non-coding RNA (337 nucleotides) under soil metagenome. Its description in RNAcentral is "partial contains 5.8S ribosomal RNA, internal transcribed spacer 2, and large subunit ribosomal RNA". The stretch from base 1 to 120 matches the Rfam family "5.8S ribosomal RNA", at positions 35 to 154 of the family's 154-position model. The record is from RNAcentral.